RNAcentral lists this ribosomal RNA (814 nucleotides) under uncultured bacterium. RNAcentral describes it as "bacterial SSU rRNA". It matches the Rfam family "Bacterial small subunit ribosomal RNA", at positions 8 to 796 of the family's 1533-position model. The record is from RNAcentral.
AGAGUUUGAUCCUGGCUCAGAACGAACGCUGGCGGCGUGGAUAAGACAUGCAAGUCGAACGCUCAUCACGGGGUAGCAAUAUUCUGUGGUGGGAGUGGCGCAAGGGUGCGUAACACGUGGGUAAUUUGCUGUGAAGUUGGGGAUAACUUGCUGAAAGGCAAGCUAAUACCGAAUGUGACUGCUGGGAGGCAUCUCUUGGCUUUUAAAGUUGGGGACCGAAAGGCCUGACGCUUCACGAUAAGCCCGCGGCCUAUCAGCUAGUUGGUGAGGUAACGGCUCACCAAGGCUAAGACGGGUAGCUGGUCUGAGAGGACGACCAGCCACACUGGAACUGAGACACGGUCCAGACACCUACGGGUGGCAGCAGUCGAGAAUUUUUCACAAUGGGCGCAAGCCUGAUGGAGCGACGCCGCGUGGGGGAUGAAGGGCUUCGGCCUGUAACCCCUGUCAUUUGCGAACAAACCUUGCCCGUUAAUACUGGGUGAGUUGAUUGUAGUGAAAGAGGAAGGGACGGCUAACUCUGUGCCAGCAGCCGCGGUAAUACAGAGGUCCCAAGCGUUGUUCGGAUUCACUGGGCGUAAAGGGUGCGUAGGUGGCGGGGUAAGUCUGAUGCGAAAUCUCCGAGCUCAACUCGGAAACCGCAUUGGAAACUACCUUGCUGGAGGGUUGGAGGGGGGACUGGAAUUCUCGGUGUAGCAGUGAAAUGCGUAGAUAUCGAGAGGAACACCAGUGGCGAAGGCGAGUCCCUGGACAACUCCUGACACUGAGGCACGAAAGCUAGGGGAGCAAACAGGAUUAGAUACCCUGGUAGUCC